This 333-nucleotide long non-coding RNA is filed under the name Elaeis guineensis (African oil palm). RNAcentral's name for it is "long non-coding RNA (EGUI_LNC033184)". Lineage: Eukaryota; Viridiplantae; Streptophyta; Magnoliopsida; Arecales; Arecaceae. The record is from RNAcentral.
CAUAGACCACCACAUCAUCCAUCAAGUACAAGUGGAUCAUACUCACCAUCUGCAUCUAGAGCUAUUUCUGACUCUUCUCCUCCAUGGUAGUCAAUUUUUCUCGCAUAAGAGAGCAUCAAUUAAUCCUUAUUGGAUGAGCACAUCCUUCACCCUCGCUUGCCAUAGGAGAAAAUUGCUCUUCCUAUCAUAUCGAUUGAUCUCUACCUUAAUUAAGCAUGUCUUCUCCAUCUUCGUCAACCUCAAUCAGUACUACCAUAAUCUGGACAAUCCUAAACUCUAAUAUUACUUGUUGGGAAGAUCCCUUAUGAGUACAGAGUAUGGAUCCCUCGCCCA